UAAUACUCCAUAGAUUAGAGACACUGGAAUGUUCUUUAGUCGAAAGUUCUGGCGCCUUAGGAUGGAUCUGCGGUCGAUUAGGUUGUUGUUGGGGUAACGGCCCAACAAGCCUGUAAUCGAUACGGGUUGUGGGAGCAAGAGCCCGGAGAUGGAAUCUGAGACACGAUUCCAGGCCCUACGGGGCGCAGCAGGCGCGAAAACUUUACAAUGCAGGAAACUGUGAUAAGGGAACUCCGAGUGCCCGUAUACGCGGGCUGUCCAGGUGUUUAAAAAUCAUCUGAAGAAAGGGCCGGGCAAGACCGGUGCCAGCCGCCGCGGUAAUACCGGCGGCUCGAGUGGUGGCCACUAUUAUUGGGCUUAAAGCGUCCGUAGCUGGACCGAUAAGUCUCUUGGGAAAUCCGCCGGCUCAACCGGCGGGCGUCUAAGGGAUACUGUUAGUCUAGGGACCGGGAGAGGUGAGAGGUACUCCGGGGGUAGGAGUGAAAUCCUGUAAUCCCCGGGGGACCACCGAUGGCCAAGGCAUCUCACCAAAACGGCUCCGACAGUGAGGGACGAAAGCUGGGGGACCGAACCGGAUUAGAUACCCGGGUAUUCCCAGCCG
Molecule: ribosomal RNA, 601 nt
Filed under: uncultured archaeon
Lineage: Archaea
Description: bacterial SSU rRNA
Rfam family: Archaeal small subunit ribosomal RNA
Source: RNAcentral